GCGCUGCCUCCUCUCCCUCCCUCCCUCUUUGGCACACAUGUAACACGAAACUUCGCAUCUCCGGGACAACCAGCAACAAAAAAAAAGGAAGAAAGGCAGAGACAACAGCUGGCUGUCAGCAGCGGAGCAGAGAGGAGCCGAGCGAGCAGCAAGCCAGGAUGAAGGGAGAGAUGACGUGAAAGUUUAAGAAGACGGAAAGAAAAACAAGAGGAGAAGACGAGCUGGCGGUCGGGAAACAGAAAUCCCAAAGCAGAGAGGCCUUGGAAACAGCAGAAAGUGCAGACAACCUGAAAAACAUUUGCUUCCUCACGAGCAGGUUGGAGACUGCACCACCACCAUCAGACUUUGUCCCUGAUGUAAUUCAGACCAAGAGGCAAGAACAGAAAACACAAAUCACUUCACCUCUGCCUCCUCCACCAUCUCUUGGAAUGGAAACAAAAUUGAAAACCUCCUGAAACAGAAUCCCACAGCACUAAGGAUAAAGCAGCCAUUUCUGGAGUAGCUCA
Long non-coding RNA from Oenanthe melanoleuca, 506 nucleotides. RefSeq lists it as uncharacterized. The transcript is spliced from 3 exons. NCBI's taxonomy places the organism in Eukaryota, Metazoa, Chordata, Aves, Passeriformes, Muscicapidae. The record is from RefSeq and is a predicted model, not a curated record.